GGUUCGAUGGUGUAGUUGGUUUAUCACUUCUGUCUAACACUUUGUGUGGAACACAGGCGGUCCUCGGUUCGAGCCCGGGUCGAAUCA
This is a non-coding RNA of Mycena rosella, 87 nucleotides long. Lineage: Eukaryota; Fungi; Basidiomycota; Agaricomycetes; Agaricales; Mycenaceae. The record is from the annotation of a GenBank genome assembly.